UGAUGUUUUUGCUCAGGUUCAGUUCAGUCAGUCGUGAGUGUGGAGCAGAAAGAGCUGAGGAGAGAGCUGAGCAACAUGUGGAGGUGAGACAACAAUCAGAUAGGCUCAGUUUCUCUAAAU
Polypterus senegalus (gray bichir) is the source of this 120-nucleotide long non-coding RNA. RefSeq lists it as uncharacterized. The record is from RefSeq and is a predicted model, not a curated record. The transcript has 3 exons. NCBI's taxonomy places the organism in Eukaryota, Metazoa, Chordata, Cladistia, Polypteriformes, Polypteridae.